RNAcentral lists this ribosomal RNA (118 nucleotides) under Chinchilla lanigera (long-tailed chinchilla). Lineage: Eukaryota; Metazoa; Chordata; Mammalia; Rodentia; Chinchillidae. The record is from RNAcentral.
GUCUAAGGCCAUACCAACCCGAACGCAUCUGAUUUCAUAUGAUCUCUGAAGCUAAAUAGUGUUGGGCCUGGUUAGUACUUGGAUGGGAAAAAAACUACAGACCAAUGAUCCUUAGGAA